CCAAUUCCUCUUUGAUCGAUUUCGUUUCAGAUCUCUCCACAAACCGAUAACCUCCCGGCGACAAUGGCGAUGGCGAAGACGACGGCAUCAACCACACUCUCGCAGCUCUCUUGCUUCUCCUCAAUCAACCGCAACCUUCACCAGCUCCACCUCCUCCACCAUCGCCGGCCUUUCUCCUCCCCGUCCUCUCCUUCUCUGCCUAAGGUCCGAAUUUCUCCAUUGCUCUCCUUUUCCUCUAGGUUUACUGGUUCUCUGUUCCAUACAUUAAACGAUUUUUUUUAUGAAUUUUCUCGCAGCUAUCGAUUGUUAGGAGUGUUGAACGGCCGGAUAGGGAAGCUUCCAACCCGGAUC
This 351-nucleotide long non-coding RNA is filed under the name Linum usitatissimum (flax). Its description in RNAcentral is "long non-coding RNA (LUSI_LNC001222)". Lineage: Eukaryota; Viridiplantae; Streptophyta; Magnoliopsida; Malpighiales; Linaceae. The record is from RNAcentral.